GAUGAACGCUGGCGGCGUGCUUAACACAUGCAAGUCGAACGAGAAGUGAAGACGGAAACCUUCGGGCGGAAGGCUUUAUUUCGAGUGGCGGACGGGUGAGUAACGCGUGGGUAACCUGCCUCAUACAGGGGGAUAACAGUUGGAAACGACUGUUAAUACCGCAUAAGACCACAGCACCGCAUGGUGCGGGGGUAAAAACUCCGGUGGUAUGAGAUGGACCCGCGUUCGAUUAGCCAGUUGGCGGGGUAACGGCCCACCAAAGCGACGAUCGUUAGCCGAUCUGAGAGGAUGACCGGCCACAUUGGGACUGAGACACGGCCCAAACUCCUACGGGAGGCAGCAGUGGGGAAUAUUGCACAAUGGGGGAAACCCUGAUGCAGCGACGCCGCGUGAGUGAAGAAGUAUUUCGGUAUGUAAAGCUCUAUCAGCAGGGAAGAAAAUGACGGUACCUGAGUAAGAAGCCCCGGCUAACUACGUG
Molecule: ribosomal RNA, 478 nt
Filed under: uncultured bacterium
Lineage: Bacteria
Description: partial 16S ribosomal RNA
Rfam family: Bacterial small subunit ribosomal RNA
Source: RNAcentral